This 447-nucleotide ribosomal RNA is filed under the name uncultured bacterium. RNAcentral describes it as "bacterial SSU rRNA". It matches the Rfam family "Bacterial small subunit ribosomal RNA", at positions 355 to 825 of the family's 1533-position model. The record is from RNAcentral.
UGGGGAAUAUUGGACAAUGGGCGCAAGCCUGAUCCAGCCAUGCCGCGUGAGUGACGAAGGCCUUAGGGUUGUAAAGCUCUUUUGGCGGGGAAGAUAAUGACGGUACCCGCAGAAUAAGCUCCGGCUAACUUCGUGCCAGCAGCCGCGGUAAUACGAAGGGAGCUAGCGUUGUUCGGAAUCACUGGGCGUAAAGCGCACGUAGGUGGGCAGUUAAGUCAGGGGUGAAAGCCCGAGGCUCAACCUCGGAAUUGCCUUUGAUACUGGCUGUCUAGAGUCCGAGAGAGGUGGGUGGAAUUCCUAGUGUAGAGGUGAAAUUCGUAGAUAUUAGGAAGAACACCGGUGGCGAAGGCGGCCCACUGGCUCGGUACUGACACUGAGGUGCGAAAGCGUGGGGAGCAAACAGGAUUAGAUACCCUUGUAGUCCCUGAGCGGGCUGGCAAGGCGCAU